AGAGUUUGAUCAUGGCUCAGAUUGAACGCUGGCGGCAGGCCUAACACAUGCAAGUCGAACGGUAGCAGGAAGUGCUUGCACUUUGCUGACGAGUGGCGGACGGGUGAGUAAUGCUUGGGAACUUGCCUUUGCGAGGGGGAUAACAGUUGGAAACGACUGCUAAUACCGCAUAAUGUCUACGGACCAAACGGGGCUUAGGCUUCGGCGCAGAGAGAGGCCCAAGUGAGAUUAGCUAGUUGGUGGGGUAAAGGCUCACCAAGGCAACGAUCUCUAGCUGUUCUGAGAGGAAGAUCAGCCACACUGGGACUGAGACACGGCCCAGACUCCUACGGGAGGCAGCAGUGGGGAAUAUUGCACAAUGGGGGAAACCCUGAUGCAGCCAUGCCGCGUGUGUGAAGAAGGCCUUCGGGUUGUAAAGCACUUUCAGUUGUGAGGAAAAGUGAGUAGUUAAUACCUGCUCACCGUGACGUUAACAACAGAAGAAGCACCGGCUAACUCCGUGCCAGCAGCCGCGGUAAUACGGAGGGUGCGAGCGUUAAUCGGAAUUACUGGGCGUAAAGCGCACGCAGGCGGUUUGUUAAGCUAGAUGUGAAAGCCCCGAGCUCAACUUGGGAUGGUCAUUUAGAACUGGCAGACUAGAGUCUUGGAGA
RNAcentral lists this ribosomal RNA (650 nucleotides) under uncultured bacterium. RNAcentral's name for it is "bacterial SSU rRNA". It matches the Rfam family "Bacterial small subunit ribosomal RNA", at positions 8 to 655 of the family's 1533-position model. The record is from RNAcentral.